This 535-nucleotide small RNA is filed under the name Pan troglodytes (chimpanzee). Its description in RNAcentral is "processed transcript". The record is from RNAcentral. Lineage: Eukaryota; Metazoa; Chordata; Mammalia; Primates; Hominidae.
CUCCAGCGUUCAUCACCCCAAAGCAGUUAAACCAUUUUCCAUCAAUCAGAAGGAAAACUUCCUUCUGGAAGACAGCACCGUGUAUUUUAUGCUUUACGUAACAAUACUUUUGAUGAUCCUCUCUCGAGUAAACGCCUGCACCCUUGUUUUCCCAAAGAACAAAUUGCACAGUUAGCCGCGCACCUAAGGAAGCCUUUGGCACCCGGGUCCAUUGGCCGGCCCGGUCCAGCUGGCCCCCCUGGGCCCCCAGGACCCCCAGGCUCCAUUGGUCACCCUGGCGCUCGAGGACCCCCCGGAUACCGCGGUCCCACUGGGGAGCUGGGAGACCCCGGGCCCAGAGGAAACCAGGGUGACAGAGGAGACAAAGGCACGGCAGGAGCAGGGCUGGACGGGCCUGAAGGAGACCAGGGGCCCCAAGGACCCCAAGGCGUGCCCGGCACCAGCAAGGACGGCCAGGACGGUGCUCCCGGCGAGCCUGGGCCUCCCGGAGAUCCUGGGCUUCCAGGUGCCAUUGGGGCCCAGGGGACACCGGGGA